Molecule: non-coding RNA, 75 nt
Organism: Phrynosoma platyrhinos (Desert horned lizard)
Lineage: Eukaryota; Metazoa; Chordata; Lepidosauria; Squamata; Phrynosomatidae
Source: the annotation of a GenBank genome assembly
GCAGGGAUUGUGGCUCAGGGGCUGAGCAUAUGCUUUGAAACCACAAGGUCCCAAGUUCAAUACCUGGCAUCUGCA